GGGAAAGAUUUAUCGCCAUUGGAUGGGCCCGCGUCGGAUUAGCUAGUUGGUGAGGUAAUGGCUCACCAAGGCGACGAUCCGUAGCUGGUCUGAGAGGAUGAUCAGCCACACUGGGACUGAGACACGGCCCAGACUCCUACGGGAGGCAGCAGUGGGGAAUAUUGGACAAUGGGCGCAAGCCUGAUCCAGCCAUGCCGCGUGAGUGACGAAGGCCUUAGGGUUGUAAAGCUCUUUUGGCGGGGACGAUAAUGACGGUACCCGCAGAAUAAGCCCCGGCUAACUUCGUGCCAGCAGCCGCGGUAAUACGAAGGGGGCUAGCGUUGUUCGGAAUCACUGGGCGUAAAGCGCACGUAGGCGGAUUUGUUAGUCAGGGGUGAAAUCCCGGGGGCUCAACCUCGGAACUGCCUUUGAUACUGCAAGUCUCGAGUCCGGAAGAGGUGAGUGGAAUUCCUAGUGUAGAGGUGAAAUUCGUAGAUAUUAGGAAGAACACCAGUGGCGAAGGCGGCUCACUGGUCCGGU
Molecule: ribosomal RNA, 519 nt
Filed under: uncultured bacterium
Lineage: Bacteria
Description: bacterial SSU rRNA
Rfam family: Bacterial small subunit ribosomal RNA
Source: RNAcentral